This is a long non-coding RNA of Panicum virgatum (switchgrass), 2984 nucleotides long. RefSeq lists it as uncharacterized. Lineage: Eukaryota; Viridiplantae; Streptophyta; Magnoliopsida; Poales; Poaceae. The transcript is spliced from 2 exons. The record is from RefSeq and is a predicted model, not a curated record.
CUAAUAUUCAGAGACAUGAAUGAACCAAGACAUGAAACACUGCACACCUAGUGUUGAUCCCAUGUUUGAGCAAGAAAGCUAUUAUCACAUGAAAACUAACUAAUUUCUUGAUUUAAGACUCUUUUGUUCCAUUAAUGAGUUUGCCAGCCAAGAAAAUGAAUUUCCAUCAACUUUCCAUUGCAUGGGUUCCCUGGCAAAACUGGAGAAAAUUCAAAAACAAUGAGGCGCUGACCAUCAUCCAUGUCCAGCACAAGCAAAGUUUGUAGUUCAAUAAUCUCGCAUUCUAGUCCAUUCAAAGUAAAAGCUAAGUUUAUUGCUUGCGUUUUUUUGUUUUCAUUUCAGGGCAAUGCAAACAGAGAGGAUAGACCGCCUCAUAUGUUCAGGCUAUACUUAUUAUAAUCAGAUAUGUACAUUUUCAAUUUUUCUGAUCCAGAACUUGUUCCGCACCCACCCCACGAUGCCCUGCCCCUCCCUGAACUGGGCCCCCACGGCUUGCUGCCGCGUGAUCAGCCCCCAUCAACACCAUACCGUCGGUGUAGAUGUCGCUUUUCUGGUCCAUCUUUACUGAGUUUCAAUACUCUGCACAAUUUGCAUUAAUCUACUUGUUUUCAGUUCUGAUAGUUAAAUUUUCUGUUGCUCUGAUCGAUCGAUGGGUGCAUCAGUCAAAGGUGAACAAGAACAAGGAGAUACACCUAUUUUAACAGGAAACCCCUUGCAGGGGAAAACCACAGAUGCACAACCAGACAACCUUGCAUGGUCAAUGUAGGAGGAAUCUAUUUGUCUCAGAAGAUGGGCAUUAAUUUCUCCCUGUGGGGUAAUCCCACUUUAGGCAUACGAGCCCUCACCCCCUCAGAAUGUUUAGAGUUGGUUGGGUAUAGGAAGCAACUCUGAAGAAAUGGUCCCACAAUAUGUUUCCUGUGUGUGCACCAUCCCAAGUUUGCAUGGUCAUUUUGGGGUUCAUCAUUAGCUCCUUAACUCAUCGGAGCUCAUGCAUUGUUUUGCAAGCUAGAUUGCACUACCAUCUUUGGCAUUCAUCAGCUGCUCGAUUGACGAAACCUGUUGGUCAUUGCCAUCAGAAUGGCAAAUAGGCUUGUGGCCUCCAUUACCUUGAGCAAUACAUAUGCCUUUUAUCAAGCAUUUGACAUGUUGCAGCUAAUGCUCUUUGUUACAUGGAACAAUAUCAGUGUGCUAAUAUGUUGUUUAAAACUUUAAAUUUGUACCCAUUGCAUCUCUUUUGAUUGUGCUUUCUUUUUUUUCCCCCUCUUGCAAUUAUUUUUCUUUUUGUCUGAGAAGACCCAUAUUCCCCAAUGCCAUAUCUAAUAGCAAUACACUGCUUGCAAUUCUUACAUAGGCGAGCUGCAAUUUCUUUCUUCUUUCCUGGUUAUACAUAUACGACUUUAAAGACUGCCACAUGGGAUCGACAAGGCUACUAAAACUACAAAACUUCAUGAAUGAUGGCUGUAUACGUGGUGAGAUCAUUUUUUGCUAAUCUCUUUAUUGUUCACUGGAUAUUUUGGUCUCCGUCUAGGAGCAUAGUCAGUAGCUAGCCAGAUUAAUCAAUCCUGUGGUUUUCGUGGAUAUUCUGUUGUGGGGUACAUAUGUUGGACUAAUUAACAAUGCAACUGAAGGUGUAUUCAAAAUAAUCUUGGCCUAUAUAGACUAUGUGGCUUCUACGGUGGAGCAAUGAUGAGAACAAAUCUUCAUUCACGUCUCAUGUGAAUCAGUUUAGACCUGGCUGUUCCUUUUGUUGUACUGUACCAUGUGCAUAAGUUGACAUGAAGCUUACAUAGACAACAAACGGACAGUUGGUGGCUGUAUGUGUUCCCAAUUUGUUAUAGUAGUUUGUUUCAUCAGUUGGCUUCAGCUCCAGACUCCAGUUUAUUUGCCAAGGAUAGCCUAGCUUUGGAAGCUUUCUUACUAGCGUACGCGGUGUGCCCUCCAUCAUAGUUCCCUGACUGGAUCAUGCAUUGUGCCAUAAUCCAGAUAGUGCUAUACUAUCAUUAGUAUCAUGUUUAGCUAAACAUGAGUACUAGUAUGGGUUUGAGGGUUCCAGAUGGAUUGGUGUGCGAUGGCGAGCAAAGCUAAGUUUUGGCUGAUCUGAAUUCUGAGAAUGAAGAGAGCACAUGAUCUACGUCUUUAAAAAAAUCACCAUAUAGCUUGCAUUGAUCAAUGCUAACCGUGGAAAAGAUGGGAGAAAUUUCUUUGGAAUUCUGUCUUGUUUCCUGGUCAAACUCUGGCAGAACCCUUCAAUCGUGGCUGCUGGCUCCAUUUGUGGGGAGGGAGAGAGACCAACUAACCCAAUUGCUGACUCUACGCACUUUGACUUUUUCUCUCUUGUCCUGCAUUGAGAUUUUUUUUUAAAAAAAAAACUGGUACUCGGCAUCGAUCAUGAGUUCACGACUUUUUUUAAUCCUCCCCGGAUCAAGCACUAGAUGAAGGAACUAGCAGGUACCACUACCCAGGCAUAGAAUAGUAGUAUAAAAAACCUUGAAAUCUCAUACAUUUUUUUUUGCCUGACUAUGCAGAUGUACAUGUUUCGUCAGCGCUUAUGCAUGCUGACACAGAGCAAGGCGAAGCUGAUGGCUAAGCUUGUCUCGGCUACAAAGGAAUCACGUGAAGCACAGAUUCUGAGCAUUAUUUAACCUAAAAAAAAUUUGCUCGUAAUUUAAUAACACCCUUGCUGUGCAAAUUGCAUUGAACUGUUUGGUACCCACGUGAUCGGAGGCUAUCUUCUGGUGGCAAAUCGCGAAGCACGACUUGUAUUGGUCUAGAAGAUUAGGACGACAGGUGGAUGGAAAAGCAAGCGAUUGACUCCACCUUUUUUGAUCUUGUGCAAUGCUAGAUAAAUUACAAACCUAGGGUUCUGGCAUCUUAAUGUAUGCUACAUUAUAUUCCUUGCCAAAAAAAAAUUGUAGUACGUUAUGUAUAUUAAUACAGUGUAUAUUCAGCUGCUCGAUGAAUGAACAGCUUCGGUAUGUAGAGGA